This 514-nucleotide ribosomal RNA is filed under the name uncultured bacterium. RNAcentral describes it as "partial 16S ribosomal RNA". It matches the Rfam family "Bacterial small subunit ribosomal RNA", at positions 28 to 523 of the family's 1533-position model. The record is from RNAcentral.
GAUGAGCGCUGGCGGCGUGCCUAAUACAUGCAAGUCGAGCGAACAGAUGAGAAGCUUGCUUCUCUGAUGUUAGCGGCGGACGGGUGAGUAACACGUGGGUAACCUACCUAUAAGACUGGGAUAACUCCGGGAAACCGGGGCUAAUACCGGAUAAUAUUUUGAACCGCAUGGUUCAAUAGUGAAAGACGGUUUCGGCUGUCACUUAUAGAUGGACCCGCGCCGUAUUAGGUAGUUGGUAAGGUAACGGCUUACCAAGGCGACGAUACGUAGCCGACCUGAGAGGGUGAUCGGCCACACUGGAACUGAGACACGGUCCAGACUCCUACGGGAGGCAGCAGUAGGGAAUCUUCCGCAAUGGGCGAAAGCCUGACGGAGCAACGCCGCGUGAGUGAUGAAGGUCUUCGGAUCGUAAAACUCUGUUGUUAGGGAAGAACAAAUUUGUUAGUAACUGAACAAGUCUUGACGGUACCUAACCAGAAAGCCACGGCUAACUACGUGCCAGCCGCCGCAGUAA